CCGUGGUUUCAAGUCUCUGGAGUCCCAUUUUUUUCUCUUCCAUGGAGUUUGUUUGCUGCAGUUUGAGGAGCCGAGGCAUAUGAUAAAUACCAGGUGUCCUUAGAAGAAGAGGAGAUUGGGCCCCAGACACACAUGCACAGAAGAAAGACCAUGUGAAGACAGAGGGAGAAGUCAGAGAUCUACAAACCAAGGAAACAUCCUCAGAAUGAAACCAACCUUGCCAAUCCCUGAUCCUAGACCUCCAGCCUCCACAACGGCCUUUGGACUCAGAUGGAAUUAUACCACGGGGUUUCCUGGAUCUCCAGCAUGCAGAUGGUAGAUUGUGGAACUUCUCAGCCUCCAAAAUCGAGUGAGCCAAUUCCCAUCAUAAAUCCCCUCUCCUAUGUCUAUAUAUGUCCUAUUGCUUCUCCUUCUCUGGAGAAUGCUGACUAAUACAGACAUAAUACAGCA
RNAcentral lists this long non-coding RNA (450 nucleotides) under Homo sapiens (human). RNAcentral describes it as "non-protein coding lnc-ACSM3-1:5". The record is from RNAcentral. Lineage: Eukaryota; Metazoa; Chordata; Mammalia; Primates; Hominidae.